RNAcentral lists this ribosomal RNA (687 nucleotides) under Escherichia coli. Its description in RNAcentral is "partial 23S ribosomal RNA". It matches the Rfam family "Bacterial large subunit ribosomal RNA", at positions 1 to 722 of the family's 2925-position model. The record is from RNAcentral. Lineage: Bacteria; Pseudomonadati; Pseudomonadota; Gammaproteobacteria; Enterobacterales; Enterobacteriaceae.
GGGUUGUGAGGUUAAGCGACUAAGCGUACACGGUGGAUGCCCUGGCAGUCAGAGGCGAUGAAGGACGUGCUAAUCUGCGAUAAGCGUCGGUAAGGUGAUAUGAACCGUUAUAACCGGCGAUUUCCGAAUGGGGAAACCCAGUGUGUUUCGACACACUAUCAUUAACUGAAUCCAUAGGUUAAUGAGGCGAACCGGGGGAACUGAAACAUCUAAGUACCCCGAGGAAAAGAAAUCAACCGAGAUUCCCCCAGUAGCGGCGAGCGAACGGGGAGCAGCCCAGAGCCUGAAUCAGUGUGUGUGUUAGUGGAAGCGUCUGGAAAGGCGCGCGAUACAGGGUGACAGCCCCGUACACAAAAAUACACAUACUGUGAGCUCGAUGAGUAGGGCGGGACACGUGGUAUCCUGUCUGAAUAUGGGGGGACCAUCCUCCAAGGCUAAAUACUCCUGACUGACCGAUAGUGAACCAGUACCGUGAGGGAAAGGCGAAAAGAACCCCGGCGAGGGGAGUGAAAAAGAACCUGAAACCGUGUACGUACAAGCAGUGGGAGCCUCUUUAUGGGGUGACUGCGUACCUUUUGUAUAAUGGGUCAGCGACUUAUAUUCUGUAGCAAGGUUAACCGAAUAGGGGAGCCGAAGGGAAACCGAGUCUUAACUGGGCGUUAAGUUGCAGGGUAUAGACCCGAAACC